AUACCUACGGGGCGCAGCAGUGGGGGAUAUUGGACAAUGGGGGAAACCCUGAUCCAGCGAUGCCGCGUGAGGGAAGAAGGUUUUCGGAUUGUAAACCUCUGUGGACAGGGACGAUAAUGACGGUACCUGUCAAGAAAGCCACGGCUAACUACGUGCCAGCAGCCGCGGUAAUACGUAGGGGGCAAGCGUUAUCCGGAUUUACUGGGUGUAAAGGGAGCGUAGGUGGCAGGGCAAGUCAGAUGUGAAAACCCGGGGCUCAACUCCGGGAGUGCAUUUGAAACUGUCCAGCUAGAGUGCAGGAGAGG
RNAcentral lists this ribosomal RNA (305 nucleotides) under uncultured bacterium. Its description in RNAcentral is "bacterial SSU rRNA". It matches the Rfam family "Bacterial small subunit ribosomal RNA", at positions 335 to 657 of the family's 1533-position model. The record is from RNAcentral.